CAGCCGCCGCGGGAAUACGAAGGGGGCUAGCGUUGUUCGGAUUAACUGGGCGUAAAGGGCGCGUAGGCGGGUUUUUAAGUCAGAGGUGAAAUCCCAAGGCUCAACCUUGGAACUGCCUUUGAUACUGGAAGUCUUGAGUCCGGGAGAGGUGAGUGGAACUGCGAGUGUAGAGGUGAAAUUCGUAGAUAUUCGCAAGAACACCAGUGGCGAAGGCGGCUCACUGGCCCGGUACUGACGCUGAGGCGCGAAAGCGUGGGGAGCAAACAGGAUUAGAUACCCCGGUAGUCCCUGUCUCUUAUAC
This 301-nucleotide ribosomal RNA is filed under the name uncultured bacterium. Its description in RNAcentral is "partial 16S ribosomal RNA". It matches the Rfam family "Bacterial small subunit ribosomal RNA", at positions 509 to 807 of the family's 1533-position model. The record is from RNAcentral.